This 301-nucleotide ribosomal RNA is filed under the name uncultured bacterium. RNAcentral's name for it is "partial 16S ribosomal RNA". It matches the Rfam family "Bacterial small subunit ribosomal RNA", at positions 509 to 807 of the family's 1533-position model. The record is from RNAcentral.
CAGCAGCCGCGGUAAUACGUAGGUGGCAAGCGUUGUCCGGAAUUAUUGGGCGUAAAGGGCUCGCAGGCGGUUUCUUAAGUCUGAUGUAAAAGCCCCCGGCUCAACCGGGGAGGGUCAUUGGAAACUGGGAAACUUGAGUGCAGAAGAGGAGAGUGGAAUUCCACGUGUAGCGGUGAAAUGCGUAGAGAUGUGGAGGAACACCAGUGGCGAAGGCGACUCUCUGGUCUGUAACUGACGCUGAGGAGCGAAAGCGUGGGGAGCGAACAGGAUUAGAUACCCCCGUAGUCCCUGUCUCUUAUAC